This 391-nucleotide ribosomal RNA is filed under the name uncultured eukaryote. Its description in RNAcentral is "partial 18S ribosomal RNA". It matches the Rfam family "Eukaryotic small subunit ribosomal RNA", at positions 592 to 976 of the family's 1831-position model. The record is from RNAcentral.
CAAUAGCGUAUACUAAAGUUGUUGCGAUUAAAAAGCUCGUAGUUGGAUCUCAGGCAUGGGCGCACGGUCCGCCUCGCGGCGGUCACUGUGUGUUUUGUUUCCCAUCCUACGCUUCCCGGUUAUCAGCCCAUGGUGCUCUUCACUGAGCGUUUUGGGUGGCCGGAACGUUUACUUUGAAGAAAUUAGAGUGUUCAAAGCAGGCACGUCGCCUGAAUAAUGGUGCAUGGAAUAAUGGAAUAGGACCUCGGUUCUAUUUUGCUGGUUUUCGGAACACGAGGUAAUGAUUAAGAGGGACAGACGGGGCAUCCGUAUUGCGGUGUUAGAGGUGAAAUUCUUGGAUCAUCGCAAGACGAACAACUGCGAAAGCAUUUGCCAAGCAUGUUUUCAUUAG